RNA transcript from Cannabis sativa, 3608 nucleotides. It is a transcript of the gene named THO complex subunit 5B, with no coding region annotated. The record is from RefSeq and is a predicted model, not a curated record. Lineage: Eukaryota; Viridiplantae; Streptophyta; Magnoliopsida; Rosales; Cannabaceae. The transcript has 4 exons.
UGCACUGUGGGCUGGACUCAACUUCUUUCAACUCUCUCUAAGUAUCCAAAAUUUAGCCCAGUACAAAAUAUGACACGAGUCCCACAUUGCUAAGAUAACAAUAGUUACACUUGUUUAUAUAUCGUUACCUCAGACACUUAGCUUGUCCCUUCGGGGACAUCCGAUAAAAUUGGAACGAUACAGAGAAGAUUAGCAUGGCCCCUGCGCAAGGAUGACACGCACAAAUCGAGAAAUGGUCCAAAUUUUUUUUCUCAUUUCUCACCCAAACGCUCCUGCAAAUUCUCUCUGACUUGAUUAACUUUCUUUGUCCAGUGAUUAUGGUUCUGAGAUUCUGUUGAUUUAACUUUUGGUUUAUCAUUGUUCGAUCCAGAUUUUUUUUCUCUUUUAAGGCAGUAAUUUAGCGAAAAAAUUACUCAAGCUCUUCGGCGGUGACAUUAUUAUCUUCAUUGAGGAUUGAGUAGGAACUGAGAAACCUAAAGAACUGGUUGAAGGAGAUGAAAAUUGAAGAUGGUGAGGUCCAGGAGGGUAUGCUGGUCGAAGAAGAUGUUCACACAGAGCCUGCACGCAAGGUUGACGAUUCACCGUAUGAAUUGCUUCAAGAGAGCAAGGCUUCGGUUGAGGACAUAAUUACCAAAAUGCUUUCUAUUAAGAAAGAGGGAAAACCCAAAACUGAGCUCAGAGAACUAGUCACUCAGAUGUUCAUACACUUUGUCACACUUCGCCAGGCAAAUCGUUCUAUCUUGCUUCAAGAGGAUCGCGUGAAAGUGGAGACAGAAAAUGCGAAGGGCCCAGUGGAUUUCGCAACCCUGCAGCUUCACAGUCUAAUGUACGAGAAGGGUUACUAUAUUAAAGCCAUAAAAGCUUGCAAAGACUUCAAAUCAAAAUACCCUGAUAUUGAGCUUGUGCCUGAGGAAGAGUUUCUUCGUGAUGCACCAAAAGAGAUUCCAAAUUCUGUACUGAGAAAUGAUCCUGCACACAAUCUCUUGUUGAAGAGGCUCGAUUUAGAACUUUUGCAGCGCAAAGAGCUAUGCAAACUUCGUGAAAAACUUGAACAGCAGAAGAAAAGUCUUUCAGAGACCAUUGUGAAUCGUAAAAAGUUCUUGUCUAGUCUUCCAUCACACCUCAAAUCUCUGAAGAAAGCAUCAAUGCCAGUACAAAACCUAUUAGGGGUGCUGCAUACAAAGAAGCUGAAGCAGCAGCAAUCGGUAGAUUUGCUUCCACCUCCUCUCUACGUGCUUUACUCACAGUUGCUGGCCCAGAAAGAAGCAUUCGGUGAACAAGUUGAUUUAGAGAUACUUGGAAGCCUGAAGGAUGCACAGACUUUAGCUCACCAACAAGCUAAUGUUGACACUGGAAUUUGCACUAAUCUGGAGAAUUCUGGAAUGGAGGAUGAUGCAGCUGAUGAGAAAGAAGAUGGCCAGAGAAGGAGAAAACGAACAAGGAGAAUUUCAGCCAAGGACAACCUUGAACAGAUAGAACAUCAAGUUCACCCCCUAAAAGUGGUGCUUCAUGUAUAUGAUGAUGACGAUGAGGUUUCUGCUCCUAAGUCUACAAAACUUGUCACCAUUGAAUUUGAGUAUUUGUUGAAGUUGAACGUCGUAUGUGCUGGAAUAGAAGGAUCCCAUGAAGGGCCUGAGAAUAACAUAUUGUGCAACUUAUUCCCUGAUGACACUGGCCUUGAGCUUCCCCACCAAUCAGCCAAACUUCUUGUUGGUGAUUCUCUUGUAUUUGAUGAAAAGAGAAAUUCUCGUCCAUACAAAUGGGCGCAGCAUUUAGCAGGAAUUGACUUAUUGCCUGAGCUAUCACCUUUGCUUACUCAACAUGGAUUUCCAAGCAGUGAUGUUGCUAAAGGUGAUGCAGUUAAAUCUGACCUUUCCACAUCCGGCCAUCAGAAUCGUGUGGCUGCAGUAAUUCAAAGAAUCCGCUCUCGGAUAAAUGGUCUUGAUCCACUUAUGCAGCUUAUAUAAGAAUGGACAAGGAAUGAGAUGGAUUAAUUAUAACUGAGAUUUUGCUCUAGGGAGAGUUGAGCAGGUUCUUAUCAUAUCUUGUUUGUUUCCCCAUAUGCUUCCUUCCUCAAAUCAUAUUCUCUUCCGAGGUGACACAAUCUUGAUUAAGGUUGGUUUAUUCCUCUCUUAUUUUCUGUCGAUGUUUUUGAAUUUUGUUUUAGCUAGAAUUACUGUUAUGCCUCCUGAACUUUUAAGCUCGUUAAAAAUGCUCCAUAAAUUAUUGAGAUUGUUGGAUUUAAGGAUUUUUGUUUAAUUUUAAUAAAAAAAAAAAAAUCUAACAUGGAUGAAAGUUUAGGAGGCAUGAUUUAGUACAUAUCAAAAUUCAAGGGACAUGAUUUGGCAGAUACCAAAGUCUGGGGAGCAUGGUUUAGUACAUAAACUUAAUAAUCCAACAUACAUAAUAAUUUUUAGUUUAAUUAAACCUAAUUCUCAUGAUCUCAUAAUGAAACCAAUAAAAAUAAAAUUUAUUCAAUAUGCAUUGAUAAUUUUAUAAGCGUUUAGGAAGAUGAGAAUUAAUAUUUUAGAUCUAAGGUUUUUUUAAUCUCAUGUGUUACAUGUAUAUUAAAUCAAUUAAUAUAUAUUUUUAAAAUUAUAAAUAUAUUUUAAAAAUAUAUAAAUAUAAUUGGAUGAUAAUUGGAUCGAUUUGGUCGGUUAUCCAUCGGAUCGGAUGUCCUAUCCAACAACCGAUCUGAUUCGAUCUAAUUAUAAUUGGAUAUCCGAUUCUAUUGAAUCGAUUGGGACUGGAUCGGUCGGUUGUAAUUAGAAUGGAUGAUUUUCUGCACACUCCUAAUUAACUGUCUUGGUUAGUUACAAGCUAUACCUUUCUGUUUUUAGUUCGAAUGGUAUAAAUAGAUAGAGUUCAAUUCAUUUCAAAUACAACCUUGUACAGAUUUAAUUCUCUCUUUCUCUCUCAAUGUAAUGAAUUCCAUUCACCAAUAAAAUCAAACAUUGUUCAAUCUCUUUGUCUAGCUGGUUUUUGCUGUUGCAUUUCUUCUUGUUGAUGUUGUCCAUGUGCAGCUCAUCUUUGAGCAUUCAAACUUGAUUGUUAAAGGUGAUAAUCGAUCACAACAAGUGGUGUUAGAGCAAGGGAUUAACUCAAUCAAGAUUUAGAUUUGAAGACAUCAAGAAGAUGGCUGCAACAAGAUUUGAGAUUAACAAGUUCAAUGGAACAAAUGAUUUUGGAUUAUGAAGGGUCAAGAUGAAGGCAUUGCUUGUCCACAAUGGAAUUUCAUAAACAAUUAAUGAAGAGAGUCUUAAGGAGAUUGAAGAUGAGAAGAAGAAGAAGGAGAUUGAAACUAAAGCACAUAGUGCUCUUCUUCUCAGUUUAGGUAAUGAAGUCCUAAGAAAAGUGUACCCGCUUUUCAUUAAGAUACAAUGCUCUUUUAAGUGCUCAAUAUUUAUAGAAGGAAAACCUCAACUACCAACCAUAUGUAAUAAAAAAAUCAUUUGAGACUAGCUCAAGUGGCCAUAGGUGGGUGUGUGUUGGAGGUCCUGGAUUCGAGUCCCAAAUAAAACAUGAUUAUAAUAUAUAAACACUUAAAUAAAAUAAAAAACUAUAUGUAAUAAAUGAGGUAGUUCAUUUUCCAACCAAAUAUAAUAAAA